UACGUAGGGUGCAGGCGUUAAUCGGAAUUACUGGGCGUAAAGCGUGCGCAGGCGGUCUCUUAAGACAGGUGUGAAAUCCCCGGGCUUAACCUGGGAACUGCGCUUGUAACUGAGAGGCUUGAGUGUGCCAGAGGGGGGUGGAAUUCCACGUGUAGCAGUGAAAUUCGUAGAUAUUCGGAGGAACACCAGUGGCGAAGGCGGCUCACUGGUCCAUUACUGACGCUGAGGUGCGAAAGCGUGGGGAGCAAACAGG
Molecule: ribosomal RNA, 253 nt
Filed under: uncultured bacterium
Lineage: Bacteria
Description: partial 16S ribosomal RNA
Rfam family: Bacterial small subunit ribosomal RNA
Source: RNAcentral